UGGGGAAUUUUGCACAAUGGGGGAAACCCUGAUGCAGCGACGCCGCGUGAUUUAGAAGGCCUUCGGGUUGUAAAAAUCUUUUCUAUGGGAAGAAAAUGACAGUACCAUAGGAAUAAGGACCGGCUAAUUACGUGCCAGCAGCCGCGGUAAUACGUAAGGUCCGAGCGUUGUCCGGAAUCAUUGGGCGUAAAGGGUACGUAGGCGGGUAAGCAAGUUAGAAGUGAAAUCCUAUAGCUCAACUAUAGUAAGCUUUUAAAACUGCUCAUCUUGAGGUAUGGAAGGGAAAGUGGAAUUCCUAGUGUAGCGGUGAAAUGCGCAGAUAUUAGGAGGCAUACCGGUGGCGAAGGCGACUUUCUGGCCAUAUCCUGACGCUGAGGUACGAAAGCGUGGGUAGCAAACAGG
RNAcentral lists this ribosomal RNA (402 nucleotides) under Fusobacteriota bacterium. Its description in RNAcentral is "Fusobacteria bacterium partial 16S ribosomal RNA". It matches the Rfam family "Bacterial small subunit ribosomal RNA", at positions 355 to 776 of the family's 1533-position model. Lineage: Bacteria; Fusobacteriati; Fusobacteriota. The record is from RNAcentral.